CAGCCUCCCGCUCCGCGCCCGUCCCGCCCGGCUCUCGUCGGCCCCGGCCCCGCCGCCGCCCCGGGGCCGCCCGGCCGCUGCCCCCGCCCCGCUCACCUGCGGCGGCUCCGCCGGGACCCCCCGCCCGUCCCGGCCCGGCCGCGGCCUCGCUGCAGCGGCGGCACCGGAAACCGACCGGCCGGACGGGCCCCGCCCGCCCUGACGUCAAUGCGCCUCGCUCUCGCCCGGGCCCGUCGCCGCGGGAAACAAGUAUUCCGUUGUGCUUGAUGCAAUCCCUGCUGGAGUCCUGGAGCCAGGAGAGCGAGGAGGGGAACAGAACCAGCUUCCAGGAGGAGUCUUGUGAAGGCACUGGACACAGCUUCCCCCAGGCUGUGGCUGCUGGAGAGCAGAGGAGAGCUCAGGGGGAAAGAGUGUGUGAGCCAAGGUGGGAAAUAGGAGCACAGACGUCACCCACCCCUGCUGCGUGCGUGGAACAGAAAGAGCUGCUUGAAAGGUCAGUGGCAGAUAAAUUAACAGUGCCUGUGGGGAGCUGAGGUGCUGCACGGGAGCUGCAGUGCCAGGGGCUUCCACUGAAGGUACCACCCAACUCUGGACCAUGUUCUGUGAGGUGCCACAGUCCUGGAGCAGCCUCUGGGGUUGAAACCAAAUGAAUAAAAAAAAGUGGCAGAUUGAAGCA
Molecule: long non-coding RNA, 676 nt
Filed under: Chloebia gouldiae (Gouldian finch)
Lineage: Eukaryota; Metazoa; Chordata; Aves; Passeriformes; Passeridae
Description: Erythrura gouldiae (Gouldian finch) lncRNA (ENSEGOG00005009293.1)
Source: RNAcentral